GACGCCUGACAAAGACACACUAAACCUUUUUGACAAAUACAGUAUACCUGUCUUAUUGGGUGUCAGAUGCUCUACUGAUCAUUCUAUUGAUCUCUGAGUCCAGACUGGUGUGAAGAAAUUGAGUUUUGAGACAAAUAAAAAUCAAUGCCCAGGUAGGCUCUGCUGAGAUUAUAAAUAGACCACUCACUCUAAUCCUCCUCCUGGCCUCCUCCACUCCCUCGAUGGGUCCGGCAAUUGACACCUGGUGAUUGAAAAAAUAACCUUUUUGUUUUUAUUUGUCAAGGGUACAAUUACUGUCUCGCUAACCUUUGGAUCCUUCAGCAUACCUGGUUGCUUUUCUCUCCUGCAGCAUUGUGUCGGUUGGAGUCAGGGAAAUGGAUGUGGCAGGAAGUGACCUCCAUCACCUUCUUGAUGUUGCCGCCACCUUUGCCGAUCACGUGGGAGUGCUCUGUGUAGGCCACGUCUAUUUUGAGGGUCACUUUGUUUACCUGGGUGUGAGGCCAACAAUGCACUGACCGAGAUGUUGAAAGGAGGCAGUCAGUCAGCUCAGGUCAUGUCUUCUCCAGCCGAGGGGCUCAACAACAAUCUGCAACAAUUCCUCAGUAAUACUCGGUUCAUUGUUCCACAAGUCAAGGUCCGCGAUAAGGAAGCUAGUGGGAAUGUUGCUCCAGGUGGUGAAGAUGACUUCACAGAGGGCAUCCACUGUCUGGAACUGAUGUCCCCCUUGCCAUCCAUCCCCAAAUGUUCUCAAUUGGGUUUGCAUCAGAGGAACACGUAGGAUGGUCCAAAUGAGUGACGUUAUUUGUCUGGAAGAAGUCCUUUAUCAGGCGGACAUUGUGAAGUGCAGCGUUGUCCUGUUGAAAAAGCCAGUCAUUACCACACAGACGAGGGCCUUCAGUCAUGAGGGAUGCCCCCUGCAACAUCUCCGCAUAGCCAUCUGCUGUUUGACGCCCCUGCACAACCUGAAGCUCUAUUUUUCCAUUGAAGGAAAAAAGCACCCCAGAUCAUGACGGUGCCCCCUCCACUGUGCCGUGUGGAAAACAUCUCAGGAGGGAUCUGCUUACGUUGAAAGCCAUCAGGACCGUCAAGGGCACAUUUUUUUUCAUCAAUGAAUAAAAGUUUCUUCCAGAAAAUGACAUUGAAACCACAUUUUUGCCAAGAUUCUGGCUUUCAAAGGCUGUGGUCUUAAACUUUUAAUCAGCUGUAUGUAUUUAGACUUUUGGAGACUGCAGAAGAGAUUUUGCUACUCUGUGUGUCACUUGAAGUAAUUGUGCUAAACAAGUCAUUUUUGUGUGUUAGCAAAUGGAAAAAUCUGUGAUGGACGUCGUAUGAACAUGCCUGCCACCAAACUCGAAAGUAGAGACCAGUUAGAAUGCAAAUUACAUGUGAAAAAAAAAGUAAAAUAUUAUUUUUCAUCAUUUGUUUUUGUGUUUAUAAUCCAACAGAUCCCCCCUUAUUUCUUGUAAAAUUUAAA
This is a long non-coding RNA of Dunckerocampus dactyliophorus (ringed pipefish), 1474 nucleotides long. RefSeq lists it as uncharacterized. Lineage: Eukaryota; Metazoa; Chordata; Actinopteri; Syngnathiformes; Syngnathidae. The transcript has 3 exons. The record is from RefSeq and is a predicted model, not a curated record.